This 445-nucleotide unclassified non-coding RNA is filed under the name Pseudomonas sp. NFACC46-3. RNAcentral describes it as "Pseudomonas sRNA P6". The stretch from base 98 to 360 matches the Rfam family "Pseudomonas sRNA P6", at positions 117 to 380 of the family's 510-position model. Lineage: Bacteria; Pseudomonadati; Pseudomonadota; Gammaproteobacteria; Pseudomonadales; Pseudomonadaceae. The record is from RNAcentral.
CAGAGUGAGCAACAGCCCAAUAUGCGAAUGGGUGAAACGAACUUUGGUGCUGCGUCCUAGGAAGCUCAUGGUUUAUUCAACACGAGCCACGACGAGCGAGUGAUCGGCAUUCUAACGACAGGCCCGAAGCCGAUAUUUCUUCAAUGCGACAACAAAUUACAGAAGCACCGAGAAAGCUGUUCGAGCGCAUUGACAGCCUCGCAAAUUCAUGCAAGAGCAAAAGAAGGGAAACCGAUCUAUGCUGCAAAUAGCGGGCCCAUUAUUCGCAAACCCUUCUAAUCCGGCAAGCACAGCGUGUCGGCUUAUUUUUGGAGACACCCGGAAGCGCCCUGUAUCGGGGCUUGGCGUUUCACAUCGCCCCGUUGUGGCGCCUUUGGUUACACAUUUCGAAACACCGGUAACGUUCGGAAGCGUCUGACGACGAAGAUCGAUAUUUAUUCGCAGA